Molecule: ribosomal RNA, 715 nt
Filed under: uncultured archaeon
Lineage: Archaea
Description: bacterial SSU rRNA
Rfam family: Archaeal small subunit ribosomal RNA
Source: RNAcentral
GAGAAUAAUGCCCGAUAGAACACUAUACCUGGAAUGGUUUGUGUUCCAAAUGAUUUAUCGCCAUAGGAUGGGACUGCGGCCUAUCAGUUUGUUGGUGAGGUAAUGGCCCACCAAGACUAUUACAGGUACGGGCUCUGAGAGGAGUAGCCCGGAGAUGGGUACUGAGACACGGACCCAGGCCCUAUGGGGCGCAGCAGGCGAGAAAACUUUGCAAUGUGCGAAAGCACGACAAGGUUAAUCCGAGUGAUUUGUGCUAAACGAAUCUUUUGUUAGUCCUAGAAACACUAACGAAUAAGGGGUGGGCAAGUUCUGGUGUCAGCCGCCGCGGUAAAACCAGCACCUCAAGUGGUCAGGAUGAUUAUUGGGCCUAAAGCAUCCGUAGCCGGCUCUGUAAGUUUUCGGUUAAAUCUGUACGCUUAACGUACAGGCUGCCGGGAAUACUGCAAAGCUAGGGAGUGGGAGAGGUAGACGGUACUCGGUAGGAAGUGGUAAAAUGCUUUGAUCUAUCGAUGACCACCUGUGGCGAAGGCGGUCUACCAGAACACGUCCGACGGUGAGGGAUGAAAGCUGGGGGAGCAAACCGGAUUAGAUACCCGGGUAGUCCCAGCUGUAAACAAUGCAAACUCAGCGAUGCAUUGGCUUAUGGCCAAUGCAGUGCUGCAGGGAAGCCGUUAAGUUUGCCGCCUGGGAAGUACGUACGCAAGUAUGAAACUUA